AAAAGCUGUAGAGUAAGGGUGGAAAGACGGUGCCAGCCGCCGCGGUGACACCGGCACCCCGAGUGUAGCCACUUUAUUGGGCCUAAAGCGUUCGUAGCCGGUUUGGUAAAUUCUUGGGUAAAUCGUACCGCUCAACGGUGCGGAUUCCGGGGACACUACCAGACUUGAGACCGGGGGAGAUCAGAGGUACUUGCGGGGGAGCGGUGAAAUGUUGUAAUCCCGCAGGGACCACCAAUGGCGAAGGCAUCUGAUCAAAACGGCUCUGACGGUGAGGGACGAAACCCUGGGGCGCAAACGGGAUUAGAUACCCCGGUAGUCCAGGGCGUAAACGCUGCUGACUUGGUGUUGGGGGCCCUGCGAGGGCGUCCAGUGCCGGCACGAAGGUAUUGAGUCAGCCGCCUGGGGAGUACGGUCGCAAGACUGAAACUAAAGGAAU
Molecule: ribosomal RNA, 436 nt
Filed under: uncultured Halobaculum sp.
Lineage: Archaea; Methanobacteriati; Methanobacteriota; Halobacteria; Halobacteriales; Haloferacaceae
Description: bacterial SSU rRNA
Rfam family: Archaeal small subunit ribosomal RNA
Source: RNAcentral